GGCGGAGUGCCCCAGUGGUUAGGGAUACUUGACAUCAGAUGGUUUAGGCCGCGCAGGUUCAAGUCCUGUCUCCGUCG
Molecule: transfer RNA, 77 nt
Filed under: Beauveria bassiana
Lineage: Eukaryota; Fungi; Ascomycota; Sordariomycetes; Hypocreales; Cordycipitaceae
Description: tRNA-Cys
Rfam family: tRNA
About the family: Transfer RNA (tRNA) molecules are approximately 80 nucleotides in length. Their secondary structure includes four short double-helical elements and three loops (D, anti-codon, and T loops).
Source: RNAcentral